Molecule: ribosomal RNA, 428 nt
Filed under: uncultured bacterium
Lineage: Bacteria
Description: bacterial SSU rRNA
Rfam family: Bacterial small subunit ribosomal RNA
Source: RNAcentral
UGGGGAAUCUUGCGCAAUGGGCGAAAGCCUGACGCAGCGACGCCGCGUGGGUGAUGAAGGCCUUCGGGUUGUAAAGCCCUGUGGGGAGGGACGAAUAAGCCGGCGCGAAUGGCGCCGGUGAUGACGGUACCUCCUUAGCAAGCACCGGCUAACUCUGUGCCAGCAGCCGCGGUAAGACAGAGGGUGCAAACGUUGUUCGGAAUUACUGGGCGUAAAGCGCAUGUAGGCGGCCAAUCAGGUCGGGUGUGAAAUCCCUCGGCUCAACCGAGGACGUGCACUCGAAACCGCUUGGCUCGAGUCCCGGAGAGGAAGGUGGAAUUGGUGGUGUAGAGGUGAAAUUCGUAGAUAUCACUAGGAACACCGGUGGCGAAAGCGGCCUUCUGGACGAGGACUGACGCUGAGAUGCGAAAGCGUGGGGAGCAAACAGG